Molecule: ribosomal RNA, 405 nt
Filed under: Triticum aestivum (bread wheat)
Lineage: Eukaryota; Viridiplantae; Streptophyta; Magnoliopsida; Poales; Poaceae
Description: partial small subunit ribosomal RNA
Source: RNAcentral
AUGACUAACAUGUAUAACAUGCCCUUUGCACCAUUCAUUGGAAUUAAUCGGCAUGGACAAUCAUUCAUGUUGGGAUGCGGGUUUGUGAGGCAAGAAUUGGCUACAAGCUUUGAUUGGUUGUUUGGGACCUUUCUUGAAGCAAUGCAUGGUCUAGCACCUACUAACAUCAUAACCGACCAAGACAUCGCGAUGGCACAGUCAAUUAAAAGGAUGUUCCCAACAAGUGUCCACCGUUGUUGCUAUUGGCAUAUAAUGAAAAAAGCUCAAGAAAAGCUUGGUGCCUUGUUGGGGCGAAACCCUGGAUUGUCGGAAGAUUCAAAUAACUGUAUUGACUUCAGCUUGACGCCGGAGGAGUUCGAGGCUGCAUGGGUGAUACGUCCAUUUUGCAUCAUGCUUUUAUAUUGA